RNAcentral lists this non-coding RNA (27 nucleotides) under Mus musculus (house mouse). Lineage: Eukaryota; Metazoa; Chordata; Mammalia; Rodentia; Muridae. The record is from RNAcentral.
UGAUAAGAGCCUGUGGAACAUUCCAUC